AGAACUUAGCAGAGAUGCUUUGGUGCCUUCGGGAACUCUGAGACAGGUGCUGCAUGGCUGUCGUCAGCUCGUGUUGUGAAAUGUUGGGUUAAGUCCCGCAACGAGCGCAACCCUUAUCCUUUGUUGCCAGCGGUUAGGCCGGGAACUCAAAGGAGACUGCCAGUGAUAAACUGGAGGAAGGUGGGGAUGACGUCAAGUCAUCAUGGCCCUUACGAGUAGGGCUACACACGUGCUACAAUGGCGCACACAAAGAGAAGCGACCUCGCGAGAGCAAGCGGACCUCAUAAAGUGCGUCGUAGUCCGGAUUGGAGUCUGCAACUCGACUCCAUGAAGUCGGAAUCGCUAGUAAUCGUGGAUCAGAAUGCCACGGUGAAUACGUUCCCGGGCCUUGUACACACCGCCCGUCACACCAUGGGAGUGGGUUGCAAAAGAAGUAGGUAGCUUAACCUUCGGGAGGGCGCUUACCACUUUGUGAUUCAUGACUGGGGUGAAGUCGUAACAAGGUAGGCGUAGUGCU
RNAcentral lists this ribosomal RNA (517 nucleotides) under uncultured bacterium. RNAcentral describes it as "bacterial SSU rRNA". It matches the Rfam family "Bacterial small subunit ribosomal RNA", at positions 992 to 1509 of the family's 1533-position model. The record is from RNAcentral.